UAAAAAUAGGAUUAUUUAGUUUAUUAUUUUGAAAUUAUUCUUUAUUUGAGUAUUAAAGGUGAAAAAAGAGGGUUUAUGAUAGUUUAUUAGUAAAGUGAUUUAAUUUUGAAAUAUUAAAAAUUUGUUUUAAAGAAGAAUUAAUUUUUUGUACCUUGUGUAUCAGGGUUGAUUAAUUUUAAGUUAAUUAUUUAAUUUUCUCGAAUUAGAAAGAGUAAAUAGGUUAUUUAUUUAAUUGUAAAAUAAAUUUUUUUAAUAAUCUAUUCGAAAUGAAACGUUAGUCGUUUUCUAAAAUAUCUAGUUUUUUAAGAAAAGAAUUCAAUUCUAUUAUUUGCUUUUAUUUAAAUUUAUUUAGUUAAAUUUAAAUUAGUGAAUAUUAAAUACUUAAUGGGAUGAGCUUUUAAGUAUAUUACUAAAAAUUUUGGGUUUUAUAAUAAUUUGUACAAUUAAGAUUGUUGAUCAACAGAAUAACUUUAUAGUUAAUUAUUUGAACAUAUGAUUUUUAUUGUUUUUAGAUUUUUUAUUGAAAUAUAAUUAUUAAUUAUUAAUAAUUGGAAAUUAUGAUUAAAUUAGUAAAAUUUAAAUUGUUAAAGUGAUUAAUUUUUGAAAGGUUUUUUAAAGGAACUCGGCAAAAUUGCUUUUCGCCUGUUUAUUAAAAACAUGUCUUUUUGAUUAUAAUUUAAGGUCUAAUCUGCUCAAUGAGGAUUUAAAUUGCCGCGGUAUUUUGACCGUGCAAAGGUAGCAUAAUAAUUAGUUUUUUUAUUGAAAGCUGGAAUGAAUGAUUGGACGAGGGAGCAGCUGUCUCUGGAAAAUUUUAUUUUUAAUUUAACUUUUGAGUAAAAAGGCUCAAAUUUAUUUCAAAGACGAGAAGACCCUAUAGAGUUUGAUAUUUUUAUUUAAUAAGAUGUUUUUGGGCUUAAAAUUUUCUUAUUAGAUUAAUUAUUUAGUUGGGGUGACUUAAAGAUUAAAUUAACUCUUUAAAGUUUUAAUCAUUGAUAUGUGAAUUGUAAAUCUAGUUUUUCUAAAUAUAAGAUAAAUUACCUUAGGGAUAACAGCGUAAUUUUUUUUUAGAGUUCUUAUUGUAAAAAAAGUUUGCGACCUCGAUGUUGGAUUAAAAUUAAUUUUUGGUGCAGAAGCUAAAAAUAUAGGUCUGUUCGACCUUUAAAUUUUUACAUGAUCUGAGUUUAAACCGGUGUGAGCCAGGUUGGUUUCUAUCUUGAAUUUUUUAUGAUAUUUUAGUACGAAAGGAUUGAAUAUUAAAUAUUUUUAUUUUAAUUUUUGAAUAUUAUU
This 1287-nucleotide ribosomal RNA is filed under the name Campsosternus auratus. RNAcentral's name for it is "16S ribosomal RNA". The stretch from base 596 to 1287 matches the Rfam family "Archaeal large subunit ribosomal RNA", at positions 1423 to 2803 of the family's 2987-position model. Lineage: Eukaryota; Metazoa; Arthropoda; Insecta; Coleoptera; Elateridae. The record is from RNAcentral.